UGGGGAAUUUUGGACAAUGGGCGAAAGCCUGAUCCAGCAAUGCCGCGUGUGUGAAGAAGGCCUUCGGGUUGUAAAGCACUUUUGUCCGGAAAGAAAUCCUUGGCUCUAAUACAGUCGGGGGAUGACGGUACCGGAAGAAUAAGCACCGGCUAACUACGUGCCAGCAGCCGCGGUAAUACGUAGGGUGCAAGCGUUAAUCGGAAUUACUGGGCGUAAAGCGUGCGCAGGCGGUUUGCUAAGACCGAUGUGAAAUCCCCGGGCUCAACCUGGGAACUGCAUUGGUGACUGGCAGGCUAGAGUAUGGCAGAGGGGGGUAGAAUUCCACGUGUAGCAGUGAAAUGCGUAGAGAUGUGGAGGAAUACCGAUGGCGAAGGCAGCCCCCUGGGCCAAUACUGACGCUCAUACACGAAAGCGUGGGGAGCAAACAGGAUUAGAUACCCUGGUAGUCCACGCCCUAAACGAUGUCAACUAGUUGUUGGGGAUUCAUUUUCCUUAGUAACGUAGCUAACGCGUGAAGUUGACCGCCUGGGGAGUACGGUCGCAAGAUUAAAACUCAAAGGAAUUGACGGGGUCAUAGCUGUUUCCU
Molecule: ribosomal RNA, 586 nt
Filed under: uncultured bacterium
Lineage: Bacteria
Description: partial 16S ribosomal RNA
Rfam family: Bacterial small subunit ribosomal RNA
Source: RNAcentral